UUAAAAAGAGAUGAAAAAAGAAAUAAUGGGAAUUGAAUAGAGAAUUAUAAGAUAAAUAAUAAAUAUUACAGUAUGAGUAAGUUCUGAAGAAAAUGUUUAAAUGGUUAUUAGAGGAUUCCAAUAACCCUAAGACCAAUUUCACCAGUUUUGCAAUUAGGACAAAUUUCUCCAGUAAAUUGUGAAAGGUGAUUACUAGAGCAAACUGGGCAUUUGACAAAAUCUUGAGAUUUUGGAUUAAUUUUUGUAAGAGAUGACGAACAAAUAAUGAUGUGGUCAAUAUCUCUGUGUGGGUCGAAGUUAAUAUUAUGUUCGUCUGUGGCUUUUUGGUCACAUGCUGCGAGAAUUUUCUGUGUCUUUUCGACGUCUUCAAUAUUUGGAAUACCCAAGAGCCUUUUAGCAAAGCUUGCUGUUGUUAUAUAGUUCUUAUGUUUCCAUGCAAUACCCAUUGCUCUUCUAAGGACUAAAGAGGUGUGUAAUGGCUGAAGUUUGCAACAUGAAAAGUAUGAAAUCAGUUCUAAAUUCCGGAUUACAAUUUCUGCCUGAUUUUGGUCUUGACAGUUAUUUAAAAGAUCAAUUCUAGCAAGUUCAAGCCUCAUUCCAAUGCAAUACUGACAUAUUAAUUCUGAAAGUUGUUUGAGUUGGUCAAUGUUUUGCGAAUAGAGAGAGUAAUGUUCCACAACCAAGGGAGCAAUGAUUAUUGCUUGUUGAAAAACUUCCAAUGCUGAUUGGAACUUUCCUGAAGUUACCAGCUUCUGUCCAGUUUUCACUAACUCUAUCAAAUUGGAUUCGUUGAAUAAGAUUAUUGGGGAAAUAUGUCCAUUUGGAGAAUUCUCAUUAAAGAGUUUGUACCCUUCUGAAAUUAAGGGUAGAUUAAUGCUAGGUCCUUCAGAGAAGCUUGGCAAGCUAUAAGUAGAACUGAGAGCAAUCAUCUUGAAGAUUUGUUUGAAAGGCUGACAAUCUUUAACUCCCAUCUUCCUUAAAAGAAUUGUGAGCGCAUCUUCGUAUUUUCCUGCCACUAUCAAAUUAAUGAUAGAGUAUCUGGGAGACGUUGCUGGAGCAUUUUCUGGAGCAUAUAAUAUUCUGUCUUGGAAUGAAGGACCUGGGUUCAUCUUUGAUAACCCAUUUGACUCAGGAGCCUCAUUUGUAUACAAAUUUUGGCCUCCGAUUCCCUCAAAAAUGUGGUCUUCGUUCAGUUUUAUAUCAUUUGGGACAUCAAUAUUAUCAAUAUCAUCCCAUUCUGGCUGGGAUGACGAGCCAAAUCCAGUACCUCCAUUUAUCGAAGAUGCAUCUAUCUGACUUAAGCUCUUACCUCCGACGCUUUUAAAAUCAUUUUGAUCGGAUGCUCUAAUAUUUUCUGAUGAUAUCUCUGAGAUAUUAAUUCUUGGCCAGUUAAGUCCCUCAAUGGUGAGUUUUUUUGCUGCCAGAAUUGGAAUACAAGGAGCUGUCAUGCAAGACUUGGAGGAUUCAUUGCAGACUUGAUCUGAAGGUUUACUAGCUUUAAGAAUAUUCAGGAACUCAAAAGCAUCAGCACCAUCCACACUAUAAGCUUCAGUAUACUGUGAAAGGAGCUCUUCUUUUACCUGAUUGUAUCCAUAUGUAUGAGCUAAAGCAAUUGCAAGAGGAAUUUGACCGAAACUUUUUAAAAUGUUAAUUCUCUCUGGAAUAUCGUUCAUAAGAAGGGCAAUAUGGUAUUUUCUUGUCCAAUUCUUUUGCUUCUCGGAUAUUUUACCUAACUUCUCCAUAUAUUCUCUCUGGCCAAUUACAUAAUAAAGUAAGAUCAGUUUCUCAAACUCUUUAGUAACUUGAAGACAUUUUUCAGCGACGUUAAUAAAUCCAUGUAAAAGAGCACUUCUUCCAAGGCAGUCCCACAUUGUUUCCAAUGUUGUUGAGUUCAAAAUGGGAAGAAUAGUCUUAUGGUUACUAUUUCCUUUAAAAUAGGAAUUUGAACUUGAGUUUUCCUUUUCAGCUUCCAAAUUCUGCAAAUCCUUUACUAUAUUGUAAGCUUGCAUAAUUUCACCAAAUUGAACAGCAUAAUAAAACUUCAAAAUUGGGUUCUCCACUAAUUGGAUUGCUACUUCUGGAUAUCCAUGUUGUGUAAGGUAAUUCAAUGUUGAAAGUCCUUUCAAAUUCCCAUCCUUGGUAUAUCUUAAUACUUUUCCGCUUUCUUGGUUUAUAAUGGAAAGUUUAAAUAAUGCCUCAUUCAAAUUCAGUUUUUCAAUUAUUUGGACGCUACCAAACCUGUUUAAAGUAAUUAAUUCCUUCCUUGAGUCUUCAUAAUGUUUAAUAUAAAGAGUAUCAGGGAUUGUUUGAAUUAUUCCUGAUUCAUUGAUAUUUGGAAUUGCAUAUUUAAUAUGACCUUGGGUAGUAUAUAUAAAGAUUGGAAGAGUUUCAUGCCAAAUUCCGGACUUUACUGUAAGAUUUUCGGUAUAAGUUGCAAUUACUUGAAGCUCACUAUUAGUGAAAAUGAUAUUAUACUUGCAUACGAUUGCAAUCACAGACUUAUCUUGGCUCCAUUGAAUUGUUCUGACUCCAGUGGAGGAACCUCCUGUUUCAUUACAAAUUGUAUUAAAUGUCAGACAUUGUUGAAAGUUUUGCCCAAUCUUAUUAUUAAUGACAGCAACCUGGUGGUUUUGAAGAUUAGAAAUGACAAGCUCUGCUACUACUUCUCUCUGUGAGAUGUCAUAUAUAUAAAGAAAAUCAUCUGACUGUAUUAUGAUUUGCUGUUGGUUACUUCCCAUGAAGAGCUUUUGAGCAAUCCAAGGAAGCUCCCAUCUCUUGAGAAUAUCUCCAUCUAAAGAUAUUAUGGAAAUAGUUUGUCCAGAAUUUUCAAGGGCUGCUAGUCUAUUUCUUGAAAGAAAGAUCACAGAAGUAACACCUGGAAGUCCACUCUUGCAUUUUGAGCUACUGGAGGAGCUAUUUUGCCCAGAACUAUUAUUAAUCAGUUGUGAGAGAGAGUUGAUUGUGAUAAUAUCAUAAGUGAAUUGUAAAGCAUUUGAAUUUGUUGAUGUUAUACCAUUAUUUGAAGAGCUGCUACUAUUCAAUCCAUUGAAUGCAUCUCUCUUAUAGUAAACUAGAAAGCAUAGCUCAUUUGGACUGAAUGGAUUAAUAUAAAAGUUACUAGGACAUAGCAUAUUGCUGGAUAUAUUAUUGCUUUUCAUGGGAAGAAUUGAAUGAACAUUCUUACUUUUAACAUCAUACAUGUAAAGAAAUCUAUCAUUAAUGUACCAAAGUUGAUUCAUUGAAGAGCAGAAAUCUGAAGGAAGUCUUUCAGGUUCUAGUUUGAAAAUAAUCAUACCAGAAUCAUGUCCAGCAGCAAAAAGACUAUUAGUUGGAUGACUGACUAUUGUCCAAAAUCGAUCAGAAUCUCUUCUAUAAGUGUGAAUACAAGCUCUUUUUGUAAGAUCCCAGAUUCUAAUAGUUCUAUCUUCACUAUUAGAUAAUAGCCAAUCCUUGUUUGAGUGGAAAAUAACAGAAGAAACGUUGUUAAAAUGUCCUCUUAAAGUAUCAAUUUCCCAUGCUUUAGUAUCAUUGUAUCUCCAAAGCUUAAUCGUUCGAUCAUCUGAAGCUGAAGCUAAUAGUGAAAGAGUUGGAUGGAAUGCAACCCAAUUAACUCCUCUUUCAUGACCUUCAAGAACAAAUUUGCAAAGUACAUCAUUAGCUCCAAACAUAUCAACAUGAGCAGGCAUAGUAUGAGAAGCUCCAAUAGAUGUAGAAUAACUGGAAUAUGAGGAAUGUCCUUUAACCGUCUUUUCUCUAAGCCCAGUAAAAUCCCAAAUUCUAACAGAUUGAUCCAUACUUGCUGAAGCUAGGAUAUCUUGAUGAGGAUGAAAAAUGGAACACAUUACAUAGUGAUUAUGCCCUGUAAUCACAGAUAUACAGGUUCUACUUUGCCAGUUCCAAAGUCUCAUAGUUUGAUCAUCAGAGCAAGAAAGAAUCCAAGGAUAUUCUUUAUGAAAUUCAACUGUUCUGAUAUAAUCUAAAUGUCCUAAGAGUGUAAAUAGACAUUUUCUUUCUUUGUAAUUCCAUACUUUAACUCUAUAGUCAUCUCCUCCUGAAACAAAUAUUGGUUGGCUUUCAUGGAAAUCAAUUCCUCUGACAGGUCCUUCAUGUUCUUCAAAUGUAUCCAGAAGGCUUCCAAUUCUAUAAUCCCAAAAUUGAAUUACACCAUUAUGAAGGCUAACAAGAACCCAAGGUAGUUUUGGAUGAAAGGAUAAACCCUUUGCUCGGGUACUUUUGCUCUCACACUUAAUCAACAUAUUCUUCCCACAUAUAAAAUAGAAAAUAUUAUUAAGAGAAGAACAAAGAUUGAAAAGUUUUUAGUUAAGUUAAUUAAUAAUUAAUUAUUGUUAUUAUUACUAUUACCACUCUGGGAAAAGAAACUCUAUACUGUAUAUUAUUAAAAAAUAAAAAAAGAAAAGAAGGUCCACUUUAAAUGUAUUAUUAAUUCC
Molecule: non-coding RNA, 4448 nt
Filed under: Cryptosporidium parvum
Lineage: Eukaryota; Apicomplexa; Conoidasida; Eucoccidiorida; Cryptosporidiidae
Source: RNAcentral